Molecule: transfer RNA, 75 nt
Filed under: Thermoprotei archaeon
Lineage: Archaea; Thermoproteati; Thermoproteota; Thermoprotei
Also listed under: 1 other name
Description: tRNA-Thr
Rfam family: tRNA
About the family: Transfer RNA (tRNA) molecules are approximately 80 nucleotides in length. Their secondary structure includes four short double-helical elements and three loops (D, anti-codon, and T loops). Further hydrogen bonds mediate the characteristic L-shaped molecular structure. tRNAs have two regions of fundamental functional importance: the anti-codon, which is responsible for specific mRNA codon recognition, and the 3' end, to which the tRNAs corresponding amino acid is attached (by aminoacyl-tRNA synthetases). tRNAs cope with the degeneracy of the genetic code in two manners: having more than one tRNA (with a specific anti-codon) for a particular amino acid; and 'wobble' base-pairing, i.e. permitting non-standard base-pairing at the 3rd anti-codon position.
Source: RNAcentral
GCCCCGGUAGCUCAGCCUGGUUGGAGCACCGCCUUGGUAAGGCGGGGGUCGCGGGUUCAAACCCCGCCCGGGGCU